Molecule: small nucleolar RNA, 78 nt
Filed under: Aspergillus ustus
Lineage: Eukaryota; Fungi; Ascomycota; Eurotiomycetes; Eurotiales; Aspergillaceae
Description: A. fumigatus snoRNA Afu_294
Rfam family: A. fumigatus snoRNA Afu_294
Source: Rfam by way of RNAcentral
UUCAAUGAUGACUUCUUUAUUGCUGUUAUUUCUUAAUACACUUUGAAGAAAAAUUCUUUCACCUUGGAGAACUGAUGC